CCAUCCUCUCGGGCCUACUGGCUAAGAUCAAGUGUAGUAUCUGUUCUUUCUAGCGUGACAGCUAGAAGGCUCCCCAUCGGUGCCAUGUCUGUCAUUGAAUCUUUGGACCCUGGACGCAGUCGCUUGGGGCUUGCUCCAAGUUCUGUCACAGAUGUCGCUCGUAUUGCACUUUCUCGACCUGACGUCCAUGGACC
RNAcentral lists this small nuclear RNA (194 nucleotides) under Gonapodya prolifera JEL478. Its description in RNAcentral is "U2 spliceosomal RNA". It matches the Rfam family "U2 spliceosomal RNA". Rfam says of the family: U2 is a small nuclear RNA (snRNA) component of the spliceosome (involved in pre-mRNA splicing). Complementary binding between U2 snRNA (in an area lying towards the 5' end but 3' to hairpin I) and the branchpoint sequence (BPS) of the intron results the bulging out of an unpaired adenosine, on the BPS, which initiates a nucleophilic attack at the intronic 5' splice site, thus starting the first of two transesterification reactions that mediate splicing. The record is from Rfam by way of RNAcentral. Lineage: Eukaryota; Fungi; Monoblepharomycota; Monoblepharidomycetes; Monoblepharidales; Gonapodyaceae.